CCUACGGGCGGCAGCAGUGAGGAAUAUUGGUCAAUGGGCGGGAGCCUGAACCAGCCAAGUCGCGUGAGGGAAGACGGUCCUAUGGAUUGUAAACCUCUUUAGGCGGGGAGCAAUGCCGGGCACGCGUGCCCGGAGGGAGAGUACCCGCAGAAUAAGCAACGGCUAACUCAGUGCCAGCAGCCGCGGUAAUACGGAGGAUGCGAGCGUUAUCCGGAUUUAGUGGGUUUAAAGGGAGCGUAGGCGGAUUUUUAAGUCAGCGGUAAAAUGUCCGGGCUCAACCCGGGCCGGCCGUUGAAACUGGGGAUCUUGAGUGGGCGAGAGGUAUGCGGAAUGCGUGGUGUAGCGGUGAAAUGCAUAGAUAUCACGAAGAACUCCGAUUGCGAAGGCAGCAUACCGGCGCCCGACUGACGCUGAGGCACGAAAGCGUGGGGAUCGAACAGGAUUAGUUACCCUUGUAGUC
This 460-nucleotide ribosomal RNA is filed under the name uncultured bacterium. RNAcentral's name for it is "partial 16S ribosomal RNA". It matches the Rfam family "Bacterial small subunit ribosomal RNA", at positions 338 to 795 of the family's 1533-position model. The record is from RNAcentral.